UGAGUCCCAGCCCCACGCACGGCUGGGCAGGGGAGGCUCCGAGUCCGGGGGUGGACAGCAGCCGUCUCGGGGCUGUAGGACCCUCAGCGGUGCCCGCCCGCCUGGGUCCUCCUCCGCCCGUGGGCUCGCGCGUGGGGUCCGGGCGCCGAGGCCGCGCCGCCUUACCUGGGCCCCUACUCCAUUCUCCGCCUCGAGGGGCCACACCUGCGCGCGGACCCCAGCCCGGCCGGCCGCAGAGGCCCAGCCCACCCGGCGUCUCUAGGACGCUGUUGCCCGAGCGACGAGGACACUCGCUGAUUGGAGAAUGAGUCUCCGCACCCAGCAAGAAGCGGAGCUCCUAUUGGCCAAAUAGACUACCGAAUGAGGAGGGUGAAGGGGCGUGACCAGAUCCGGCCGGUGGCUCAGCCGCCGCAGAAGGGACUUCCGCCGGAAGUCCUGCCCCUGGGGCACGGGAACCUGCUUGGAGUCGGGGCGACGCCGUCGUGGAAGCGCGUUCUGUUACGCGGCUUUCGGGCGAGCGGGCGGCCAGCCUGGUCCCGCCGAAGCGCUUGGAGCCGCGUGGCCUUGGGGGUCAGUGCCCUCCUGAGCGGCAGACGCCCCCUUGUGCCAAGCACGUACCCCUCGGGGCUGGUGUCGGGAUAGGGGGAGCGGAUCCAGAGCCCGACCGCGUGCCGCGCGCUGCCAGAGUUCCAUCAGGUGUCCUCUUGUUCAAAACCAGCAGUAGCUGAGACAAUCUGUUGUUCAAGAUGAAAUAAGAGAGAACAAGCUGCUACAUGAGAGUCUCGGAAUCUGCUGCUCAAAGCCUUUGAUGAUAAUCUGGAGACGGAAACCACGGGAAGUUGGGGCAAAUAUUUUUACACUUAUGAUAUCCAACCGACAGCUCAUUCCCUCAGGAAUCAAGAAGAAACUCGGGGGUGAUGGAGAGCUGCGUCCCACCCUCCAGGCUUGGAGGCCUCACAGCUGCAUUUCCACCACAUUUCCGUACGCCCAGGAGACUGUACCAUUUCACAGUAAUCGAUAAUGAUGUUAUAAAUGGAAGUUAUGCCUUCAUGUGGAGAAAUAAACAGCAGGAACUGAUUAACCCCCAAGAAGUUAAGUACUGUUUUCCACCUUGUCUAUUAAUAAAGACAGAAGGAAGAGCAAGCACGUGACACAGACACAUAAUGCAUCCAAACGAGAGCUGAGAAUGUCCCUGGGAAAUCUGUGAGGAGAGCUUUCUGACUGCUGUCCUUCUGGUGGCCUCCUAAAAUGGAGACCAGACUCUCCUGAGCUGUCCUUAGGAGAAAAAAAGAUUAAGUGAAAAUAAAUGAAGUAUAAGUAGCUG
RNAcentral lists this long non-coding RNA (1324 nucleotides) under Equus asinus (donkey). Its description in RNAcentral is "lncRNA (ENSEASG00005033509.1)". The record is from RNAcentral. Lineage: Eukaryota; Metazoa; Chordata; Mammalia; Perissodactyla; Equidae.